AAAAACAAAUCCAAGCUUUUGCCAGCUUUGCUGGGGUGCAUAAUCUUAACCCAUUUUCCAGUAAUUCGCAACCGGUUCACACCGCAUCACAUAAUGGCAUUGCCUCUGGCUGCCAAACGAGCUGCAUAGACAGCAGCUUCCGGCAAAACAACACACAGAUGUGUGCAUCGCGAGAGAUACACGUAACAUGCAAAAUAACAUACAAAGGAAAAAUGAAAAAAAAGUAAAUGAAAAUAAAAACUGAAACCUAAGCGAAUUUUCAAUUUUCAUUGUUUUGCCUUUUUCGUGUUCGAUUCUAUUUGGCUGGGCCAUAAAUUUUGAAUGAAAAUUGCAUUGCAAAAUGUAUGAGCCAAAGCGACAUAGAGAGCAGCGAAGCGAAGCCAGCGCACCGAACGGUUAGCAAGAGAGAGACAGAGAGAGUGGCAGAGCGACGGAGAGAGAAUGAGAAAGAGUGGGGGGCACUAGGCUAUGCAAAACAGGGCGAAAUGUACGCGUUUUAUCUCUCAUGUACACACA
Long non-coding RNA from Drosophila navojoa, 516 nucleotides. Lineage: Eukaryota; Metazoa; Arthropoda; Insecta; Diptera; Drosophilidae. The record is from RefSeq and is a predicted model, not a curated record.